RNAcentral lists this ribosomal RNA (496 nucleotides) under uncultured bacterium. Its description in RNAcentral is "partial 16S ribosomal RNA". It matches the Rfam family "Bacterial small subunit ribosomal RNA", at positions 28 to 507 of the family's 1533-position model. The record is from RNAcentral.
GACGAACGCUGGCGGCGUGCCUAAUACAUGCAAGUUGAGCGCUGAAGGUUGGUACUUGUACCAACUGGAUGAGCAGCGAACGGGUGAGUAACGCGUGGGGAAUCUGCCUUUGAGCGGGGGACAACAUUUGGAAACGAAUGCUAAUACCGCAUAAAAACUUUAAACACAAGUUUUAAGUUUGAAAGAUGCAAUUGCAUCACUCAAAGAUGAUCCCGCGUUGUAUUAGCUAGUUGGUGAGGUAAGGCUCACCAAGGCGAUGAUACAUAGCCGACCUGAGAGGGUGAUCGGCCACAUUGGGACUGAGACACGGCCCAAACUCCUACGGGAGGCAGCAGUAGGGAAUCUUCGGCAAUGGACGAAAGUCUGACCGAGCAACGCCGCGUGAGUGAAGAAGGGUUUCGGAUCGUAAAACUCUGUUGGUAGAGAAGAACGUUGGUGAGAGUGGAAAGCUCAUCAAGUGACGGUAACUACCCAGAAAGGGACGGCUAACUACGUG